Molecule: non-coding RNA, 23 nt
Filed under: Arabidopsis thaliana (thale cress)
Lineage: Eukaryota; Viridiplantae; Streptophyta; Magnoliopsida; Brassicales; Brassicaceae
Source: RNAcentral
UGGUUGGUCCGAAUUGUUCACGU